CGGUGAUGCAUUUAUUAACACGAUUGCAGAUACUGCAUGUGUUGCAGUUGAUGUAUGAGUAUACUUUCCUGAAGAAGAGGUAGCUGAUUUGUGUAGUUCACACAACAUAAGCAGCAGUUGUCUAAUCCCUUGGAUAAAACCAUAUCAACUACAUGAAGAUCUGGUCAGUUUUUGUCCUUGUAUAUAUGUUUUCCCCUCUUUCAUCUAUAAAUAUAUUUAUGUUUUUUAAAAUUUAGCUGGAGUAAGAUGAUCAAUUGCUCCCAGUUCCCAUGCAUUCAACACUUCCAUAAUCAGCACCUUCUUUCAUAUAUAGAUUAUUUCUAUUAAAUCUAUUCCAUUCCAUUCAGUACUAGGCAUAUGCAUUACAUUAGGCCCACACAGGAGAAACAUGUCAUAUAUUAAGUCAUAGAGUUCUGCCUUCAGAUUUGGCAAGAAAAAGAUAUUUAGAGUGGCUUCAGGUAAUCUUAUGCAAGCGGGCUAUAAUAUUGUUAUUAAUUUCACUUGGAAAGGGUCCUCUAUCUGUCCAUUGAAAUUCACAGUGCAUGUGUUCAGUUCAGUUUUUAUCUCUUUUCUGGAAAGAAUACCACAUAUCUCUACUUCAGAGAGUGCAGGCUUUGGCAGUUAUCUUUAAGAUGGGACCUGCCAUAGCCAUAGCCUUGAUCUCCUCUCUUCAAAUGGAUGGUGGAUGAGGUCUGUUUAAUUUGCUUGUCUUAGAUUGUGGUUUUACUUAUGUUCCUUUUGUUAUACAGUUCUGGUGAAAUUUUUUAUCUCUAGCUGCAUCAUACAUUUCGAUCUUUCCAAAUCUAUAGAUUGUGAUUUUAUCAAAAGGUGCUUGUGCUCCAGUGAAACCACUAGCCAUUUUGCUGGUACAGUGAUAUUAGGGCCAUACAUGAAUUAGGGUUUUGUUUUUUUUGAUAAACUUUGGUGAUGAGGUUCAGAUAUCUUCAUGUUACUGUAUUGAAGCUGCAAUCAUUUCUAAAUUUUCGGAUCUCAAUUCUUUUUCUGACGAUAGCAGUUUGGACUGUAUACAUGUCAUUUUGCUGGUUUCUUUUGCUUUAAGGGAAUCAGGGCAGGACAGAAGGAACACUGUGACCAUGUCCCCCAUGUACGCAUCAAGCUCCCAAGUGAUAAUCUGAAUGCCUGCUCAGAUCCUAGGCGCCGGCGGAAUCAACCUUGACCCAUCAAUGAUGGUCAUCCCCCAUUGACGAUCACAUGGUCCAUAGAGACCAUGGUGUCUGAUUUUUGACGGUUUAAGCUUUGUCUACACUUUUUCUUUCUCAGCAUUUGCUUCUGAUGGUUUAUACUUUAGAGUUGGGUAUUGGAUGUUCAUUCUCUAGAUGAAUUGGUCAUGUACUUGAAAUUUUGCACAUUUGGUACUGAAUCUGCACUCGAAGUGGGUUUCCUAAUUUGGUUAGGUACAUUGUAUAAGCUAGAUUCGCAUUUUGUACAAUUGAUUAAAGAAUAUGGUUUGUCU
RNAcentral lists this small RNA (1474 nucleotides) under Oryza sativa Japonica Group (Japanese rice). RNAcentral's name for it is "sRNA Os04g0378400". Lineage: Eukaryota; Viridiplantae; Streptophyta; Magnoliopsida; Poales; Poaceae. The record is from RNAcentral.